AUGACUUCAGAGGGUUCAUAAGCCUCCAGAAGCUCAGCUGGGGGCCCCAGGCCAGUGACUGCAGGUUGAGGACACCAGGAAGGAAGAGGACUGUUUCAUGAGAUCCCUCCAAAUUACAGGUGAACAAGUUGACAUCAUAGAGGCUACAGAAGAGGCCCGGGCUCACACCAUCUCAGAAACAACCACAUCAAAACCCGGGCCUUCUGUAUACUUCUCAUCUAGGAGUUCCCACCAAAAGGUUUCAAAAAGGAAGGAAGUGCACCUCCUGGGGAGCAGGUAGGUCUCCGCACAGACUAGGCGGGACAAGAGAGCAGCUUUGUCCGUCCGGGGCUGACAUCUAGAGGACUGAAACCUGACACACCGCCGAUGCCAGCAUUAAUGGGGGAGCAAUAAGAGCCCAUUAAUUUCAGUCCUGCUCCAUCAGCAACAAGUGGACACAUUCACCUCACUCCCCCUCCCCAACUCUUCCGACCACUUGGCUCCUGAGGA
Molecule: non-coding RNA, 489 nt
Organism: Delphinapterus leucas (beluga whale)
Lineage: Eukaryota; Metazoa; Chordata; Mammalia; Artiodactyla; Monodontidae
Source: RefSeq, a predicted model, not a curated record